RNAcentral lists this ribosomal RNA (440 nucleotides) under uncultured bacterium. Its description in RNAcentral is "partial 16S ribosomal RNA". It matches the Rfam family "Bacterial small subunit ribosomal RNA", at positions 338 to 795 of the family's 1533-position model. The record is from RNAcentral.
CCUACGGGAGGCAGCAGUGGGGAAUAUUGCACAAUGGGGGGAACCCUGAUGCAGCGACGCCGCGUGAGUGAAGAAGUAUUUCGGUAUGUAAAGCUCUAUCAGCAGGGAAGAAAAUGCCGGUACCUGACUACGAAGCCCCGGCUAACUACGUGCCAGCAGCCGCGGUAAUACGUAGGGGGCAAGCGUUAUCCGGAUUUACUGGGUGUAAAGGGAGCGCAGACGGCUGUGCAAGUCUGGAGUGAAAGGCGGGGGCCCAACCCCCGGACUGCUCUGGAAACUGUAAAGCUGGAGUGCAGGAGAGGUAAGCGGAAUUCCUAGUGUAGCGGUGAAAUGCGUAGAUAUUAGGAGGAACACCAGUGGCGAAGGCGGCUUACUGGACUGCAACUGACGUUGAGGCUCGAAAGCGUGGGGAGCAAACAGGAUUAGAUACCCCUGUAGUC